This 119-nucleotide non-coding RNA is filed under the name Castor canadensis (American beaver). Lineage: Eukaryota; Metazoa; Chordata; Mammalia; Rodentia; Castoridae. The record is from RNAcentral.
AUGCUGUAUGAAAGGAGAAAAGACUAGCACUCCCCUUUACAAGGAUGGAAAAGACCUGACAACACACAUACAGUUAAGGAAUUCCCACAUACUUCCUGGUAUCUGAACAUCAUUUUUUU